CACGCGGCUGACGGGCGGCGGAGCCGGCAUUAGGGCCCAGAUGCACCGUUGGAGAAAUACCAGAUGCGAUGAAAAAGGUGUUUGGCGAACACAGAGCUAGCGAUCGGAUGAGGAAGCGGUUCGGUCUCCCGUGGCUUUGAGUUCACUUCUUUUCACCUCCUGAGAUGGGCCCUUCGGAGGAGAGAGUCAAGACAGGGGUAUUGCUCAGUGAUGACGUUUUUGUCCGACAAUAAACCAACAGCCGAUCACCCUUCAGAAAACAGAAAAGGUCCUGGACUCGAAAGUAGCUUUAAUGCAUGCCGAACAGUUUCGUUACAGGAAGAAGACCAAAAAUGUAGGUGAGUUUGAGUUAUAUGCUCUAUUUUGGUUAAAGACUUUCCUCACACUUCUUACUCUUUUUGGAAAAUAUAAUCUGUAGGUACUACUGG
This is a long non-coding RNA of Ornithorhynchus anatinus (platypus), 428 nucleotides long. RefSeq lists it as uncharacterized. Lineage: Eukaryota; Metazoa; Chordata; Mammalia; Monotremata; Ornithorhynchidae. The record is from RefSeq and is a predicted model, not a curated record. The transcript is spliced from 5 exons.